CCCCAGCGCCACGAGUGGGAGUCGCUUUUAUUGGGCCUAAAGCGUCCGUAGCCAGUUUUGUAAGUCUUUUGUGAAAUUGUUAGGCUUAACCUGACAGCGUGCAAGAGAUACUGCAAUUCUAGAGACCGGGAGGAGUAUGGGGUAUUCCAUGGGGAACGGUAAAAUGUAAUAAUCCAUGGAGGACCACCAGUGGCGAAGGCGCCAUACUAGAACGGAUCUGACGGUGAGGGACGAAGGCCAGGGGAGCAAAACG
RNAcentral lists this ribosomal RNA (253 nucleotides) under uncultured archaeon. RNAcentral describes it as "partial 16S ribosomal RNA". It matches the Rfam family "Archaeal small subunit ribosomal RNA", at positions 474 to 726 of the family's 1478-position model. The record is from RNAcentral.